UACAGAGGGUGCGAGCGUUAAUCGGAAUUAUUGGGCGUAAAGAGCUCGUAGGCGGCUUGUCACGUCGGAUGUGAAAGCCCGAGGCUUAACCUCGGGUCUGCAUUCGAUACGGACUAGCUAGAGUGUGGUAGGGGAGAUCGGAAUUCCUGGUGUAGCGGUGAAAUGCGCAGAUAUCAGGAGGAACACCGGUGGCGAAGGCGGAUCUCUGGGCCAUUACUGACGCUGAGGAGCGAAAGCGUGGGGAGCGAACAGG
Molecule: ribosomal RNA, 253 nt
Filed under: uncultured bacterium
Lineage: Bacteria
Description: partial 16S ribosomal RNA
Rfam family: Bacterial small subunit ribosomal RNA
Source: RNAcentral